AUCAGAGAUCCCUGGAAAAAAACGAGGGUUUGGCUUGGCACCUUCGACUCUGCGGAGGACGCUGCCCGUGCCUACGACGCCGCAGCCCGCUCUCUCCGUGGUCCAAAGGCGAAAACCAAUUUUGUUUCGGACUCCCAUUUAUCUCCUUUCACCUACCAAAAUCCACAGGAUGCUUUCAUGGAUCACAGAUUAUAUACAGCUAAUGGGUUUCCCGAGCAUCCCGUAAAUCCACAGAGACCCACGUCUAGUAGU
RNAcentral lists this unclassified non-coding RNA (252 nucleotides) under Hevea brasiliensis (rubber tree). Lineage: Eukaryota; Viridiplantae; Streptophyta; Magnoliopsida; Malpighiales; Euphorbiaceae. The record is from RNAcentral.